GACGAACGCUGGCGGCGUGCUUAACACAUGCAAGUCGAACGCUGAAGCGGCUUCCUUCUUGGCGGGUGUGGUUGAGUGGCGAACGGGUGCGUAACACGUGCGUAACUUGCCGCCUUCUUCUGGAUAUCCGCAUGAAAGCGUGGCUAAUACGGGAUAUUCUGGUUCUGUCGCUUGAUGGAUCUGGGGCAAUUGCUGCUUUACUAGGUGGUGGGCCCGCGGCCUAUCAGCUUGUUGGUGGGGCGAUGGCCUACCAAGGCGGUGACGGGUAGCCGGCGUGAGAGGGUGGACGGUCACACUGGGAGUGAGACACGGCACAGACUCGUACGGGAGGAAGCAGUGAGGAAUAGCGCACGAUGGGCGCAAGACUGAUGCAGCGACGCCGCGUGAAGGAUGGAGGCCGUCGGGUUGGGAACCUCUUUCGAGAGUGAAGCAGGCCAGAGUCGAUUGUGCGUGGUUUGACGGUAGCUGAACAAGAAGCGACGGCUAACUACGUG
Molecule: ribosomal RNA, 494 nt
Filed under: uncultured bacterium
Lineage: Bacteria
Description: partial 16S ribosomal RNA
Rfam family: Bacterial small subunit ribosomal RNA
Source: RNAcentral